RNAcentral lists this ribosomal RNA (951 nucleotides) under Triticum aestivum (bread wheat). Its description in RNAcentral is "partial small subunit ribosomal RNA". The record is from RNAcentral. Lineage: Eukaryota; Viridiplantae; Streptophyta; Magnoliopsida; Poales; Poaceae.
AUGAGAUGCAAGUGGCUGUGGCUUUCCUGGAUGGACACUACGCGACCCUGGCGUGGUUUACCUCUGCCUAUCACCAGCUCGGUCAGGGCUCUCUUUGAGGCUUCAGUCCAAUUCAACAUUGGGGAUGGCGCCAACACGCAGUUUUGGACAGACCCUUGGCACAACAGAGAAAGUUUCAGCUCAAGGUUUCCUGAUUUAUUCAAGCAUUGCACUGUCAAGUCGAUAUCCAUCCUUCAUGCUUUAACUGACGGAAAAUGGAUGCGACACUUUAAGAGCAACCUUUCCCAAGACGCUAUUAGCCAGUUUACGUCCAUGUGGAAUGACCUGCAGCUGGUGCAGCUAUCCGAAAAUCAGGAAGACACCUUAACUUGGCGUUGGACUGCAAACGGCCAAUUUUCCUCCUGCUCAGCAUACACGGCUACUCUUACUGCCAACAUCAAACCUCUGUUUGCUAAGUUGGCCUGGAGCUCCGAUGCGCCCCCUAAGUGCCAGUUUUUCGUUUGGUUGGCUGCUCAAGAGCGAUGCCUGACGGCAGACAACCUAGCAAAAAGGGGAUGGCCUCACAACCCCCUAUGCUCUCUAUGCCUUCAAGAGCCGGAAUCUGCUACGCACUUGCUUACCACAUGCUCAUUUGCUAAGGAAAUCUGGCACUUGACCUUUGACAUGCUUCAUAUGCACCACAGUUUGAUGGCCAACAAUGGGGAGUCCCUCACUAGCUGGUGGCAACGCUCCAGUUCGGCGAUGACCAAGGACAAGGCAAAGACUUGGCGGUCCAUUAUUGCUCUUGUGUGGUGGAACAUCUGGAAAGAAAGAAAUGCGAGGGUAUUCACUAAUUCAUCCUGCAGUGCAAGACCCCUGUUCGAGAAUAUUCAAGUUGAAGCCAAGGAUUGGAUUGAUGCUGGUCGUAGGAGAGUUCUACAACUUGUCGAGCGACCCUUAGAACCUGAUUGA